Molecule: ribosomal RNA, 471 nt
Filed under: uncultured bacterium
Lineage: Bacteria
Description: partial 16S ribosomal RNA
Rfam family: Bacterial small subunit ribosomal RNA
Source: RNAcentral
AUUGAACGCUGGCGGCAGGCCUAACACAUGCAAGUCGAACGGUAACAGGAAGAAGCUUGCUUCUUUGCUGACGAGUGGCGGACGGGUGAGUAAUGUCUGGGAAACUGCCUGAUGGAGGGGGAUAACUACUGGAAACGGUAGCUAAUACCGCAUAACGUCGCAAGACCAAAGAGGGGGACCUUCGGGCCUCUUGCCAUCGGAUGUGCCCAGAUGGGAUUAGCUAGUAGGUGGGGUAACGGCUCACCUAGGCGACGAUCCCUAGCUGGUCUGAGAGGAUGACCAGCCACACUGGAACUGAGACACGGUCCAGACUCCUACGGGAGGCAGCAGUGGGGAAUAUUGCACAAUGGGUGGAAGCCUGAUGCAGCAACGCCGUGUGCGGGAUGACGGACUUCGGGUUGUAAACCGCUUUCGCUCAUGACGAAGCUUUGUGUGACGGUAGUGGGUAAAGAAGCACCGGCUAACUACGUG